RNAcentral lists this long non-coding RNA (1081 nucleotides) under Castor canadensis (American beaver). RNAcentral describes it as "lncRNA (ENSCCNG00000007822.1)". The record is from RNAcentral. Lineage: Eukaryota; Metazoa; Chordata; Mammalia; Rodentia; Castoridae.
CUGCGCAGCCUCUGAAAGCCCUUCAUUGACAUCACUGAGCCCAAUUUCGAGUUUGCUAUCAAGUUCAAUGCCCUGUAACUUGACAACAGUGACCUGGCUCUCUUCAUUGCAGCCAUCAUUCUGUGUGGAGACCGGCCAGGCCUCAUGAAUGUGCCACAGGAGAACAUCAUUCUUCAUGACCUCGAGUUCCACCUGCAGGCCAACCACCCCAAUAGCCAGUACCUCUUCCCAAGCAGCUGCAGAAGAUGGACGACCUGCAGCAGCUGUUCAAUGAGAACACCCAGAUGAUGCAGUGGUUAAAGAAGACUAGACUGAGACCUUGCUGCACCCCAUGCUAUAGGAGAUCUAUCAGGAUAUGUACUGGGGCUGCCAGGCCUCCUGCAGGUUCUAGAUGGGCCCAGCCAUGGGACUGUUCCACAGGCCAGCUGACAAGCACUCAGCAUGGGUCACACUCUGGCACUCCUAGACAGACAUGGCCUGCCUCCCUACAUUCCCUUCCUUCCACCCCAUUGCUACCCAGGCUCAUUCUGUGUUGUCUCCCUCUUUCUCAGUCUCAUCUUCCCAGUGCCUCCUGCUCUUCUGUUCCCUUGCCCUCUGCAUGUCUUCCACCUCUCUGCCCUCCCUGCUCCUCUCUCCAUCUUGAUAUCUGUCCUCUUUCUCCUCUGCAAGGCAGUCGGUACUGUCUCACAAGCAGCCUAAAACAGGACCUCUGCCUUUGCCCAGCCUUUCCCCAGGAGCAGCCUGCACCCUCCCUGCCAUUACCCCUGGGCCUAGGGCCUUGCUUCUGUCUCCUGUCUUCAUGUAAAAGACUUGGGUCAUCCAAAGAAACACCACACUCUCUCAGCCUGCUUCCUGGGUCCAAAGAAACACUGUAUUCUCUGAGCCUGGCUUCCUGGGGAGCUUGGCCCAUAUGGACUGCAGUAGUGGCCUGUGGUCACAGGGUUCCUGCUGCAGAGGACAGUGGGCAGGGGACCUGGGUGGAGAGCCACACACUUCCCUCCGACCGUCUUCUCCACCCAAGGUCAAGGCUGUGCCCCCACCCAGCCAACCCCACUCCAGCAGCCCCAGCCCUCUACACCUG